UACAGAGGGGGCAAGCGUUGUUCGGAAUUACUGGGCGUAAAGGGCGCGUAGGCGGCCUUCUAAGUCGAACGUGAAAUCCCCGGGCUCAACCCGGGAACUGCGUCCGAUACUGGGAGGCUUGAAUCCGGGAGAGGGAUGUGGAAUUCCAGGUGUAGCGGUGAAAUGCGUAGAUAUCUGGAGGAACACCGAAGGCGAAGGCAGUCUCCUGGCAAGUUACUGACGCUCAGGUGCGAAAGCUAGGGGAGCAAACGGG
RNAcentral lists this ribosomal RNA (253 nucleotides) under uncultured bacterium. Its description in RNAcentral is "partial 16S ribosomal RNA". It matches the Rfam family "Bacterial small subunit ribosomal RNA", at positions 524 to 776 of the family's 1533-position model. The record is from RNAcentral.